CAUGUAGGCGGUUCUGUAAGUCUGGCGUGAAAUGGUUCGGCUUAACCGGAUCCUGCGUCGGAAACUGUGGGACUAGAAUCACUGAGGGGAAAUCAGAAUUCCAGGUGUAGGGGUGAAAUCUGUAGAUAUCUGGAAGAAUACCGGUGGCGAAGGCGGAUUUCUGGCAGAUGAUUGACGCUGAGGUGCGAAAGUGCGGGGAGCAAACA
Molecule: ribosomal RNA, 206 nt
Filed under: uncultured bacterium
Lineage: Bacteria
Description: partial 16S ribosomal RNA
Rfam family: Bacterial small subunit ribosomal RNA
Source: RNAcentral